Molecule: long non-coding RNA, 232 nt
Filed under: Solanum tuberosum (potato)
Lineage: Eukaryota; Viridiplantae; Streptophyta; Magnoliopsida; Solanales; Solanaceae
Description: long non-coding RNA (STUB_LNC007441)
Source: RNAcentral
GUCGGGUGUUGCUUACACCCUUUCAUUUUCAAUCUUGAUCAUCAUUAAUUCUUCCAUUUUGUCAUCUUGUAAGAAAGUUUUGUCUCUCAACACAAAAUUGGAGUAGACUCUAAAUUUGGCUUCUAAUGGAGGGAACAACACUCUUGAGCUAUCACAUUCUUGUUUUGAAUCGACAUUACAAUGUCAAUAGUGACAAACAUUUAGGCAUGGAAAAUCACUAGUACUACAAGAG